UUCCUACGGGAGGCAGCAGUGGGGAAUUUUGGGCAAUGGGGGAAAGCCUGAUCCAGCCAUUCCGCGUGAGUGAAGAAGGCCUUCGGGUGGUAAAGCUCUUUAGCAAGGGAAGAAAACUUAUUCUCUAACAUAGGAUGAGGAUGACGGUACC
Molecule: ribosomal RNA, 151 nt
Filed under: uncultured bacterium
Lineage: Bacteria
Description: partial 16S ribosomal RNA
Rfam family: Bacterial small subunit ribosomal RNA
Source: RNAcentral